AAGACAGCAAACUGCCAGUGUGCUUAACAGCAAAAACGAUCAAAAGCGGGGACACAGGUGGCUGGUGAACUUUCAUUGCGAAGCACGGCAAAACAGACAUGUAGGAGGCACGACGAAGACUCAUGACAAGGCCCUUGGUCACUCUCACCCCUGCUCUUCUCACGUGGACGAUGAGAGCGUCUCUGAGACACAGGAGCCAUCUUGACAGUCCGCUGUGGUCCAGAAAAUGCUGUCACUUGUGUGGAAAACAAGCCAAGUAUCGUGGACACUGCUUGCGGCCUGUGGAAGUGAAUUACUUCGCGAAUCUGAACGGCCUGGACAUUGGGAACCACACAUGUAUCCAGUGUCCACUGGGUGGGCGUCAGGAGGCUGGACCGGGAAGGUGCA
Hyaena hyaena (striped hyena) is the source of this 387-nucleotide long non-coding RNA. RefSeq lists it as uncharacterized. Lineage: Eukaryota; Metazoa; Chordata; Mammalia; Carnivora; Hyaenidae. The transcript has 4 exons. The record is from RefSeq and is a predicted model, not a curated record.